RNAcentral lists this long non-coding RNA (211 nucleotides) under Elaeis guineensis (African oil palm). RNAcentral's name for it is "long non-coding RNA (EGUI_LNC040699)". The record is from RNAcentral. Lineage: Eukaryota; Viridiplantae; Streptophyta; Magnoliopsida; Arecales; Arecaceae.
CCCCCCCAUUUUUUUUUUCUCAGCAUUAUCGAAUGCUCAUGAUUGGCUAUGAUUUGGAUUUAUGAGUGAGCGGAUGUAUGGAUAAAGUAUCAUUGAUAUCUGAUCAAAGGAUUGAAGGAAUUUAAUUUAUAAUUAUAUAAGUUUCACUAAUUAUUAUUGAAAUUUGACAUUAUGGAUGUUGAGGUUAUAAUGAAUUAUUUUAGGCCUUGCA